This 490-nucleotide ribosomal RNA is filed under the name uncultured bacterium. Its description in RNAcentral is "partial 16S ribosomal RNA". It matches the Rfam family "Bacterial small subunit ribosomal RNA", at positions 29 to 507 of the family's 1533-position model. The record is from RNAcentral.
AGUGAACGCUGGCGGUAGGCCUAACACAUGCAAGUCGAACGGCAGCACAGGAGAGCUUGCUCUCUGGGUGGCGAGUGGCGGACGGGUGAGGAAUACAUCGGAAUCUGCCCAGUCGUGGGGGAUAACGUAGGGAAACUUACGCUAAUACCGCAUACGACCUUCGGGUGAAAGAGGGGGAUCGCAAGACCUCUCGCGAUUGGAUGAGCCGAUGUCGGAUUAGCUAGUUGGCGGGGUAAUGGCCCACCAAGGCGACGAUCCGUAGCUGGUCUGAGAGGAUGAUCAGCCACACUGGAACUGAGACACGGUCCAGACUCCUACGGGAGGCAGCAGUGGGGAAUAUUGGACAAUGGGCGCAAGCCUGAUCCAGUCAUACCGCGUGGGUGAAGAAGGCCUUCGGGUUGUAAAGCCCUUUUGUUGGGAAAGAAAUCUUUCAGGCUAAUACCCUGGGAGGAUGACGGUACCCAAAGAAUAAGCACCGGCUAACUUCGUG